GGUUCAGAACGAACGCUGGCGGCAAGCUUAACACAUGCAAGUCGAACGGACCAUACGCGCAGCUUGCUGCGUGUAUGGUUAGUGGCAGACGGGUGAGUAAUGCAUAGGAAUCUACCUAGUAGUAUAGGAUAGCCACUAGAAAUGGUGGGUAAUACUGUAUAAUCCCUGCGGGGGAAAGAUUUAUCGCUAUUAGAUGAGCCUAUGUCAGAUUAGCUAGUUGGUGGGGUAAUGGCCUACCAAGGCGGUGAUCUGUAGCUGGUCUGAGAGGAUGAUCAGCCACACUGGAACUGAGACACGGUCCAGACUCCUACGGGAGGCAGCAGUGGGGAAUAUUGGACAAUGGGCGCAAGCCUGAUCCAGCUAUGCCGCGUGAGUGAGGAAGGCCUUAGGGUUGUAAAACUCUUUCAGUAGGGAAGAUAAUGACGGUACCUACAGAAGAAGUCCCGGCAAACUC
Molecule: ribosomal RNA, 454 nt
Filed under: Anaplasma centrale
Lineage: Bacteria; Pseudomonadati; Pseudomonadota; Alphaproteobacteria; Rickettsiales; Anaplasmataceae
Description: bacterial SSU rRNA
Rfam family: Bacterial small subunit ribosomal RNA
Source: RNAcentral